RNAcentral lists this transfer RNA (85 nucleotides) under Rhipicephalus microplus (southern cattle tick). RNAcentral describes it as "tRNA-Leu". It matches the Rfam family "tRNA". From Rfam's summary of the family: Transfer RNA (tRNA) molecules are approximately 80 nucleotides in length. Their secondary structure includes four short double-helical elements and three loops (D, anti-codon, and T loops). Further hydrogen bonds mediate the characteristic L-shaped molecular structure. tRNAs have two regions of fundamental functional importance: the anti-codon, which is responsible for specific mRNA codon recognition, and the 3' end, to which the tRNAs corresponding amino acid is attached (by aminoacyl-tRNA synthetases). tRNAs cope with the degeneracy of the genetic code in two manners: having more than one tRNA (with a specific anti-codon) for a particular amino acid; and 'wobble' base-pairing, i.e. permitting non-standard base-pairing at the 3rd anti-codon position. Lineage: Eukaryota; Metazoa; Arthropoda; Arachnida; Ixodida; Ixodidae. The record is from RNAcentral.
GUCAGAAUGGCCGAGUGGUCUAAGUCGCCAGACUCAGAUUCUGGAUCCACGUAUGUGGGCGUGGGUUCGAAUCCCACUUCUGACA